This 235-nucleotide ribosomal RNA is filed under the name Paenibacillus polymyxa. RNAcentral's name for it is "partial 16S ribosomal RNA". It matches the Rfam family "Bacterial small subunit ribosomal RNA", at positions 885 to 1119 of the family's 1533-position model. The record is from RNAcentral. RNAcentral also lists the same sequence under 1 other name. Lineage: Bacteria; Bacillati; Bacillota; Bacilli; Caryophanales; Paenibacillaceae.
GUCGCAAGACUGAAACUCAAAGGAAUUGACGGGGACCCGCACAAGCAGUGGAGUAUGUGGUUUAAUUCGAAGCAACGCGAAGAACCUUACCAGGUCUUGACAUCCCUUUGACCGGUCUAGAGAUAGAUCUUUCCUUCGGGACAGAGGAGACAGGUGGUGCAUGGUUGUCGUCAGCUCGUGUCGUGAGAUGUUGGGUUAAGUCCCGCAACGAGCGCAACCCUUAUGCUUAGUUGCC